GAUAGCGUGGCCGAGCGGUCUAAGGCGCUGGAUUUAGGCUCCAGUCUCUUCGGAGGCGUGGGUUCGAAUCCGACCGCUGUCA
RNAcentral lists this transfer RNA (82 nucleotides) under Merluccius polli (Benguela hake). It matches the Rfam family "tRNA". From Rfam's summary of the family: Transfer RNA (tRNA) molecules are approximately 80 nucleotides in length. Their secondary structure includes four short double-helical elements and three loops (D, anti-codon, and T loops). Lineage: Eukaryota; Metazoa; Chordata; Actinopteri; Gadiformes; Merlucciidae. The record is from Rfam by way of RNAcentral.